GCCUACUUUACAUUAUUUCAUCAUAUGGCACGUUUUUACAACAUGUUGAAAAAUCGAAAUUUUUUUCCGACAUAGUAUACUAUGGCGUUUUUGUUGCGCCAAAAUUCAUGUUGAUUUUUUUUUCAAAGAAAACCUUUCUGGAGUGUUUUCCACGGCCUACUUUACAUUAUUUCAUCAUAUGGCACGUUUUUACAACAUGUUGAAAAAUCGCAAGUUUUUUUUCGACAUAGUAUACUAUGACGUUUUUUUUUGCGCCAAAAUUCAUGAUGACUUUUUUUUCAAAGAGAACCUUACCAUAAUGUUUUUCACAGCCUCCUUUACAUUAUUUCAUCAUAUGGAAUGUUUUCACAUGUUGAAAAAUGACAUUUUUCGACAUAGUAUAAUAUGGCGUUUUUGUUUUGUUUUUUUUACGCCAAAAUUAAUGUUGAUUUUUUUUUCAAAGAAAACCUUUCUGGAGUUUUUUUCACUGCCUCCUUUACAUUAUUUCAUCAUAUGGCAUGUUUUCACAACAUGUUGAAAAAUGACAUUUUUCGACAUAGUAUACUAUGGCGUUUUUGUUGCGCCAAAAUUCAUGUUGAUUUUUUUUUUCAAAGAAAACCUUUCUGGAGUGUUUUUCACUGCCUCCUUUACAUUAUUUCAUCAUAUGGCAUGUUUUCACAACAUGUUGAAAAAUGACAUUUUUCGACAUAGUAUACUAUGGCAUUUUUUUUCACGCCAAAAUUCAUGUUGAUUUUUUUUCAAACAAAACCUUUCUGGAGUGUUUUUCACUGCCUCCUUUACAUUAUUUCAUCAUAUGGAAUGUUUUCACAUGUUGAAAAAUGACAUUUUUCGACAUAGUAUAAUAUGGCGUUUUUUUUUUUUACGCCAAAAUUAAUGUUGAUUUUUUUUUUCAAAGAAAACCUUUCUGGAGUGUUUUUCACUGCCUCCUUUACAUUAUUUCAUCAUAUGGCAUGUUUUCACAACAUGUUGAAAAAUGACAUUUUUCGACAUAGUAUACUAUGGCAUUUUUUUUCACGCCAAAAUUCAUGUUGAUUUUUUUUCAAAGAAAACCUUUCUGGAGUGUUUUUCACUGCCUCCUUUACAUUAUUUCAUCAUAUGGCACAUUUCUACAACAUGUUGAAAAAUCGCAGGUUUUUUUUCGACAUAGUAUACUAUGGCGUUUUUUUUUGUGCCAAAAUUCAUGUUGAUUUUUUUUUCAAAGAAAACCUUUCUGGAGUGUUUUCCACGGCCUACUUUACAUUAUUUCAUCAUAUGGCACGUUUUUACAUGUUGAAAAAUCGCAGGUUUUUUUUCGACAUAGUAUACUAUGACGUUUUUUUUUGCACCAAAAUUCAUGAUGACUUUUUUUCAAAGAGAACCUUACCAUAAUGUUUUUCACGGCCUCCUUUACAUUAUUUCAUCAUAUGGCAUGUUUUCACAACAUGUUGAAAAAUGACAUUUUUCGACAUAGUAUACUAUGGCGUUUCUGUUGCGCCAAAAUUCAUGAUGAUUUUUUUUCAAAGAAAACCUUUCUGGAGUGUUUUUCAUGGCCUACUUUACAUUAUUUCAUCAUAUGGCACGUUUUUACAACAUGUUGAAAAAACGAAUUUUUUUCCCCGACAUAGUAUACUCUGGCGUUUUUUGCGCCAAAAUUCAUGAUGAUUUUCUUUUUUCAAAGAAAAGCUUACCAUAAUGUUUUUCUUGCCCUCCUUUACAUUAUUUCAUCAUAUGGCACGUUUUUACAACAUGUUGAAAAAUCACAUUUUUGUUUCCACUCAGCUGCAUGCCUUCGUCCACCCGGCCUCCGCUGACUCGUCCUGCCUGCCGUCUCUGGAGCUGAAGCUGGA
Long non-coding RNA from Amphiprion ocellaris (clown anemonefish), 1826 nucleotides. Lineage: Eukaryota; Metazoa; Chordata; Actinopteri; Pomacentridae. The record is from Ensembl.